RNAcentral lists this microRNA (26 nucleotides) under Pteropus alecto (black flying fox). Its description in RNAcentral is "pal-miR-1839-5p". Lineage: Eukaryota; Metazoa; Chordata; Mammalia; Chiroptera; Pteropodidae. The record is from miRBase by way of RNAcentral.
UCGGGGGCCAUACUACGUAGCCUGGA